This 1223-nucleotide long non-coding RNA is filed under the name Betta splendens (Siamese fighting fish). RNAcentral's name for it is "lncRNA (ENSBSLG00000003137.1)". The record is from RNAcentral. Lineage: Eukaryota; Metazoa; Chordata; Actinopteri; Anabantiformes; Osphronemidae.
AAACACAAGUGCGCGCACGCAUGAGCGCGGCCAGAAUUAAAAGGCAAAGCGUGUGACACGCAACGGGUUAACGCAACCCUGACGCCGGAGUGUUUGUCAGCGAUAUGAAAAAACCGCUCUAAUAAUAAUAGAAACAGAAACUGGCUUGAGGCUUGUCGCUAAUUAAUUUCGGAGCGUUGACACCAGUGGUGCUCCGGUUUCACUGGCGCAAACGCCGCCAUCCGGCUGCACCGCGUUGUGUCUAAUCAUGUAACGAGAAGCUGACAUUUUGGGUUUUGUCCUGAGCCUCCCACGACUGCUGACUCAUUACUGCGCGGUGCAGAAUGCGCUGGAGCAGGAAUCGGUACAUUUGACUGCACUCCCACUCCUCUGAACGGCUCAGGCCAGCGUGGAAGGACGAUAAUGAACCGGAGGCGCAGCGAGAGGCGCGCAGCUCCAGCAAUGACUGGCUCUGAGCGGAGAGCUAAUCAUUUCCCCUCAGUCCAUUGACUCAUAUCUUACUUUUAGAUACUUUCCCCCUUUAGAUCAACUCAUUUACCUAAAACGUGUUUUUAUGGUGUUUUUCCGCCUUAUUUAUUGCGCCUGGCUGUUUGGAGGAGCCACCGGUCUGAACCUGGAGUGACGGCGGGGACCAGAGCAUCCCUCUGCCCUCCACUGUAGACGUCUUAACCUCCCAAACAGCCCGGUAGCGGCGCUUGUCGGCCUGUCAAUGGGCGUGUUGACACUGCAUUUUGGAGCAAACCCUCUUUUCAUACAUCCGCACGCAGAAAGCAAAGAGAAGGCCACCAUCCCUCUCUGACUGUCUAACGAGAUGCUCCAUCUCUGACACCGGGGCUCCGUCACCCGGAACUAAGCCGCUCCUCAGACAGAGAGCGGAGCAGACUGACGGCUCCACCGAGGCCGGAGAGUGGAGCGCAGCGCCGGGCCGGUGGGGGGGGGGGGGGGGGGGGGGGGUGCCGGGGGGAUUUAUUUCCUGGCCUGACAGGUCUCUCCUUUUUUCCAGGUGGGCAGAUGGAUUUCCUACCGCUCACAGUUCCAGCGAGUCCUGGGAAGACAGGCUGUUAUUUUAAUAGCUAUCUGUGGAGUGUGCUUCAAGUUAACAUGUCAGCUGCUGGAUGGAUCACGUAGCCGGUGGAGCUGAUAUUUUACUAAUUCGAGAUAUAACUGGCGGAAACAGGCUUUUUUUUUUAUCACGCCGGUAAAUGAGAAACUAAACCGCGAAA